CCUACGGGAGGCAGCAGUGAGGAAUAUUGGUCAAUGGGCGCGAGCCUGAACCAGCCAAGUCGCGUGAGGGAAGACGGUCCUAUGGAUUGUAAACCUCUUUUGUCGGGGAGCAAAAGACGCCACGCGUGGCGUUCCGAGAGUACCCGAAGAAAAAGCAUCGGCUAACUCCGUGCCAGCAGCCGCGGUAAUACGGAGGAUGCGAGCGUUAUCCGGAUUUAUUGGGUUUAAAGGGUGCGCAGGCGGAAGGUUAAGUCAGCGGUAAAAUUGCGAGGCUCAACCCCUUCGAGCCGUUGAUACUGGUAUUCUUGAGUGAGUGAGAAGUAUGCGGAAUGCGUGGUGUAGCGGUGAAAUGCAUAGAUAUCACGCAGAACUCCGAUUGCGAAGGCAGCAUACCGGCGCUCAACUGACGCUCAUGCACGAAAGUGUGGGUAUCGAACAGGAUUAGAUACCCUUGUAGUC
Molecule: ribosomal RNA, 459 nt
Filed under: uncultured bacterium
Lineage: Bacteria
Description: partial 16S ribosomal RNA
Rfam family: Bacterial small subunit ribosomal RNA
Source: RNAcentral